UGCGAUGAGUCGAGUCAGACCGGACAAAUUUUUGUCGUGCUGAGGCACCAAGCGGUCUAAUCGAAUGCGGGGCACAGAUGCUACCGGAUUGUAGCGUGUCUAGUCAUAAAUAUUGUGGAGU
Molecule: non-coding RNA, 121 nt
Filed under: uncultured Ligilactobacillus sp.
Lineage: Bacteria; Bacillati; Bacillota; Bacilli; Lactobacillales; Lactobacillaceae
Description: Enterococcus sRNA 68 (Lacto-3 RNA)
Rfam family: Enterococcus sRNA 68 (Lacto-3 RNA)
About the family: Name 'Ref' stands for RNA in E. faecalis. Also known as Lacto-3 RNA. Lactobacillales (Firmicutes).
Source: RNAcentral